UGAUGCUCAAAUUGAGGAUAUACCAAAUGU
RNAcentral lists this non-coding RNA (30 nucleotides) under Rattus norvegicus (Norway rat). The record is from RNAcentral. Lineage: Eukaryota; Metazoa; Chordata; Mammalia; Rodentia; Muridae.